This 649-nucleotide ribosomal RNA is filed under the name Subulicystidium cochleum. RNAcentral describes it as "partial large subunit ribosomal RNA". It matches the Rfam family "Eukaryotic large subunit ribosomal RNA", at positions 235 to 905 of the family's 3401-position model. The record is from RNAcentral. Lineage: Eukaryota; Fungi; Basidiomycota; Agaricomycetes; Trechisporales; Hydnodontaceae.
CCCGGUGCUCUGUGAUGCGCUCUCGAAGAGUCGAGUUGUUUGGGAAUGCAGCUCAAAAUGGGUGGUAAAUUCCAUCUAAAGCUAAAUAUUGGCGAGAGACCGAUAGCGAACAAGUACCGUGAGGGAAAGAUGAAAAGCACUUUGGAAAGAGAGUAAAACAGUACGUGAAAUUGUUGAAAGGGAAACGCUUGAAGUCAGUCGCGUCUUCUGGGACUCAGCCUUGCUUCUGCUCGGCGCAUUUCCCAGCUCGACGGGUCAGCAUCGGCUCUGGGGGACGGACAAAGGCGUGGGGAAGGUGGCAGCUCCGGCUGUGUUAUAGCCCCGCGUCGUACGCGCCCUCUGGGACCGAGGAAUCCGGCGCUCGCGCCUGGGAUGCUGGCGUAAUGGCUUUAAACGACCCGUCUUGAAACACGGACCAAGGAGUGCUACAUGCUCGCGAGUGUUUGGGUGGAAAACCCGAGCGCGCAAUGAAAGUGAAAGUCGAGACCCUUUGCGGGGGCACCGACGCCCGAGCCUGAUGUUUUCGGACGGCCUUGCGGUAGAGCGAGUAUGUUGCGACCCGAAAGAUGGUGAACUAUUCCUGAGGAGGGCGAAGCCAGAGGAAACUCUGGUGGAGGCUCGUAGCGGUUCUGACGUGCAAAUCGAUCGC